This is a non-coding RNA of Rattus norvegicus (Norway rat), 3231 nucleotides long. The record is from RefSeq and is a predicted model, not a curated record. NCBI's taxonomy places the organism in Eukaryota, Metazoa, Chordata, Mammalia, Rodentia, Muridae.
CCAAGUUUCUUUUUGUCAGUGUUUUAGCACAGCAGCAGAAACCAAACUAAGACAUGUAGGAGGAAACCUACCCAUGAUCCCCAUGGGGAAUGAAGUUGGGUAAAGAUAAAAAGGAGAAAUGACAGAAGAAUGAGAGCUGGGAAAGGAAUCAAGAGUUUCCAUGGAUGGAAUUAAUUUUUAAAAUGAGUUCUUGUUCCCACAAGUCAUUUCCUUUAUGAAUGACCAUAAAUAUUAGAGCUAUGUUUUACACUGAGAUGAACUAUGUUUUCUUAAAACUGCUUUCACAACUCUUACAUAGCUUCAUCCCUGGUUUCUCUUUAGUUUCUUUUAUAAAUAUCCAUAGUUCCUUCAAACAUUUUUCAUAUGAUUUCAUCUCAAAGUUUAGUGCAAGCCAUGUUUAGCUUCAAGUGUCAAGGCCAGAACUGCCACAAAAAUGUCCAGAUGUAGCUUGGCAUAUGCAGUACCAAGUCCACUGUUUAUGUUUUCUUUCAUGAUCUAGGUACUAUGUAAUUACUACUGGUCUACAAAUGGUAUCAUGACCCUUAAAAAAACUACAUUCUAUAAACAUUAUGCAUUAUGGUUAUAAAUAAUAACUUUCCCCAAGUCUUGUUUCAGGGACUGUUUUUAAACCAGUAUUCCCAUGUUAAAUCUUAGUCUUUUAACAGACUUAACUCAAAGGCAACUUUAAGACCGGGGUCAAAUGUUUUUUCGUCGCCAGUUUCAGUUUGCUGUGCUCAGUUGUUAUCCCAUUGGGUAGAAAGUGGAGUCUCACGGUCAGCAUAUUUAUUCUCCUUUUCAAUCAGUGCUGUAGUCUUGUCUGGAGACGCAGGGUUCCACGGAAGUUCCCGUGAAUCCUGCUCUAAUGAGGUCAUUUGAAGUAUGAUGAAGAAGCAAACAAGAGUGACCGCUAAGCUGAUUGCAUGUAGGUUGGAAUUUCCCAACCUCAAAGAACUGGACUCUGCCAACAAGCUGAGUAACUUUGGAAGACGUCCUCAAGACUAGACCAUGGUUACUACCUUGAUUGCUGAGCACCAGUGGAAGGGGAAGCCCUGGGUCCUGCUAAGAAUGAACCCCCAGUGAAGGUCUUGUUCCGAGGCAGGGGAAGCAUCAGGUGCCUACCGAAGAAACCAAGCUGGCUAAACUAGCAACUGGAGGUUGCUCUGAAGGACAAACCAAGAUUACAGGAAGAGAAAGGGAAAAGUCGUUAGGAGACUCUGCCAGUUGGGAGAGAAUCAACUGGACUAUGACGUUGGCAGAAGCAGCUAUGAGAGUGGACAUAUGUGGGAAAUUUCCCAAAGGGCUGGGAACAGAACCCAGGGCAUGUGUACAAGCUACUACUCACCUACACUCCCAGCCCUGGUGUUCUCUACUGCUCAUUCGCUACCUUUCACCCAGCACCAAAAUGAUGAAUAUUCUGUGAGAUAGUUGACCUUGUAAACUCUCAUGGGAAUGGAAUUAACUGAAAGACGCACCUCUGGGCAGGAUUGUGAGAGCAUUUCCUGGAAGGACUGAUUGAGAUGGACGAUCCUCCCCCAGAGCGGGCAAGCUCCUUGAAGGAACCAAAAUGGAAAGAGGUCUGAGGAAAAAAGCAGGACUGCUUAGCUACCUGCCUUCUCUUCUUGCUGGUGAGUGUGUCUUUCUCCUUGCUGCUGAAGCUGCCAUGCUUCCUUGCCAUCAACCCAGCUCUCUUGGCUUUCCAAGCUGACUGAAAGCCCGCUGGACUCCACGAACCCUCCAGACCUUCAGAACUAGGUAGGCCACGUGGCUACAGUUUUCAGCUUCUCCAGGGUGCAGAUGUCCCAUGUUACCCAGACUGUAGUGUGUGAGUCAAUGUACUAAACCUUCUUUAAUACAUAUUCAUUGUAUUGUUACUGUCUCUUUAGGUGAACUGGGUCCAUUUAAACAGAAACAAAAACCACAGUUAUCCCUGGUUUUAUUUAGUACAUUCAUCAAAACCUGGAAUUUAAUACUGGGAAUAAAAUGGAAUCGGGUGGUCCUUGGAAUUGAGGAAAAUGGAAACAUGAGGGAUUCCCACAUAGAUAGGGAGGACGUUCACAAAUUUGAGGUCUAGAGCCACUAUGAUAUAUAAAAAAGCAUAGCUUUAAUACACUUUAGGGCAGGGUUGUUGAGAGAAGGCAACACUAAUCACUCUAACUGCCUGCCUUCCUUGUAAGAUACCCUCAUUCAAGUAAAACAGCUCUAGAGGCCUCUGCAAGAGCACUGGCUACCUCUCCAACCAGUGGUUUUUUUUUGUUUUUUGUUUUUGUUUUGUUUCUAUUGUUGUUAUUGUUGUUGUUGUUGUUGUUGUUGUUGUUGAUGAUGAUGAUGAUGAUGAUGAUGAUGAUGAUGAUGAUGGUUAGCUCUCUAGUACAUGCUGCCCAUGUGUGUACUCCAAACUGGCCCAACCGUCUCCAGUACCUCUAUCAACAUAAAAAAAUCAUAUCAGUAAGUUCAUUUCUAAAAGAGGGAGAGAAAAUACUACGUUAAGUAUCUUUGUUCUGCUAGAAUGUUCCCUGUUGUAAAUCAGCCUGUGGCCAUGAUCCAAAACUGAAUCUGCACCAUUCUUGAAUAAAGAUAAUCACUCUUAUUGCCCAGAUUAACAACAAUUAUAUUUCUCACGGCCACUUAGUAACAAAAGUCCUCCGUUUUUAAUUAGUUUGGCUUUUUUUUUUCAUACUUAUUUCAUGAGCAACAACAAACAUUGAUACAUUAUUUGUCUCUACUUAAAUAAUUUCAAUCUUCCUUAGUUUUUCACUCUGAACUCUUUGGCCUCAGCUCUGUUCAGAACAGCAUGGCCACCUUCAUGAAGUUUUAGUCAACACUUCCCUCUUUCUCCUGCAAGGUUGUUUCCUAGGCUCCAGGGUAAGACAACUAGUAUUAGUGAAAAGGGUUAGCAUUUUCAGCAUCUUUGAGACUGGAAAAAGGAAGCAAUUUGCCAUGGUCUCACCAUAGCCUUUGGUUGCUUGGACAUAAACUGGCAUAUUUUCAAUGCCCUUUCUGACAUUCAUCCCUAUAGUAUCAACUGGACCAUCUGUUUGAAACUCACUAUGUGAAUUCUGUGAGAAUGUCGCAUUAGCAAUUUCUGUCUCAUUUGGAAUAAACAUGGGAAUCAUUUAAAAAAGAACACUGUUACUUACUCCGUGUCCUUUGAUCUUAAGGACUAAAUGUUGAUUGGCUAUCGUGGCAUUUUGAUGUUAUUUCCGAGUAUCCCUAAAUAAAUACACUUAAGGC